This 271-nucleotide ribosomal RNA is filed under the name uncultured bacterium. RNAcentral describes it as "partial 16S ribosomal RNA". It matches the Rfam family "Bacterial small subunit ribosomal RNA", at positions 524 to 794 of the family's 1533-position model. The record is from RNAcentral.
UACGUAGGGUGCGGGCGUUAUCCGGAAUUAUUGGGCGUAAAGAGCUCGUAGGCGGUUUGUCGCGUCUGCCGUGAAAGUCCGGGGCUUAACUCCGGAUCUGCGGUGGGUACGGGCAGACUAGAGUGCAGUAGGGGAGACUGGAAUUCCUGGUGUAGCGGUGGAAUGCGCAGAUAUCAGGAGGAACACCGAUGGCGAAGGCAGGUCUCUGGGCUGUAACUGACGCUGAGGAGCGAAAGCAUGGGGAGCGAACAGGAUUAGAUACCCGAGUAGU